GUGAUGCUAACUUCAUCAUGAGAAUGUGAAGACCUUUUGAAACACCAAGCACCUGACCCAAGCCCGGCCACAGAAUACGCUCUUCAAAUUGGGGUCCGCAGACCACCAGCAGCACCAGGGUCCCCUGGGAGCUUGGAAGACCUGCGGUGUCUGGCUCCACCCCAGACCUGUGGCAGCAGACUCUGCAGCGUCACAAGAGUCUCAGCUUCCUGCAGCUGCCCCAAGGGGGACCGCUCCUGGCUGGACAGAUGCAGCAAAAGACAUCAAGACACUGUGCUGAGAGCCUAGUGAGCUCCCACCAGCUUGAGAGAUGAGGGCAACCGAAGCUCAAAGAAUCAAUGGGACCCAGCUGGAUGAGCCCACGUUUGGAACAAAACAGGAGUCUUCUAUCCCUUGCUCAGCUCUCUUCCCACUGUCCCGUGUUGAUUCUGCUCAUCUACGUCACAAGGCAUGUAACACAGAGA
Non-coding RNA from Callorhinus ursinus (northern fur seal), 464 nucleotides. The record is from RefSeq and is a predicted model, not a curated record. Lineage: Eukaryota; Metazoa; Chordata; Mammalia; Carnivora; Otariidae.